This 515-nucleotide ribosomal RNA is filed under the name Staphylococcus aureus. RNAcentral describes it as "partial 23S ribosomal RNA". It matches the Rfam family "Bacterial large subunit ribosomal RNA", at positions 2388 to 2904 of the family's 2925-position model. The record is from RNAcentral. Lineage: Bacteria; Bacillati; Bacillota; Bacilli; Caryophanales; Staphylococcaceae.
GUCGAGCAGGGUCGAAAGACGGACUUAGUGAUCCGGUGGUUCCGCAUGGAAGGGCCAUCGCUCAACGGAUAAAAGCUACCCCGGGGAUAACAGGCUUAUCUCCCCCAAGAGUUCACAUCGACGGGGAGGUUUGGCACCUCGAUGUCGGCUCAUCGCAUCCUGGGGCUGUAGUCGGUCCCAAGGGUUGGGCUGUUCGCCCAUUAAAGCGGUACGCGAGCUGGGUUCAGAACGUCGUGAGACAGUUCGGUCCCUAUCCGUCGUGGGCGUAGGAAAUUUGAGAGGAGCUGUCCUUAGUACGAGAGGACCGGGAUGGACAUACCUCUGGUGUACCAGUUGUCGUGCCAACGGCAUAGCUGGGUAGCUAUGUGUGGACGGGAUAAGUGCUGAAAGCAUCUAAGCAUGAAGCCCCCCUCAAGAUGAGAUUUCCCAACUUCGGUUAUAAGAUCCCUCAAAGAUGAUGAGGUUAAUAGGUUCGAGGUGGAAGCAUGGUGACAUGUGGAGCUGACGAAUACUAA